Zea mays is the source of this 1877-nucleotide long non-coding RNA. RefSeq lists it as uncharacterized. The record is from RefSeq and is a predicted model, not a curated record. NCBI's taxonomy places the organism in Eukaryota, Viridiplantae, Streptophyta, Magnoliopsida, Poales, Poaceae. The transcript is spliced from 3 exons.
AUCAGUAAAUUUGGCUAGUCUUUUUAGCUAAUCUCUUGGAGUUGCUGUAACUAUUAGUUCUAGUACAUUCAAACACACCCUAAGAAACCGUUCGGAAGCCAUUUUUUUCCAGCGGAUGUAGCUAGUGACACCUCAAAUGAUACUGUAGAAAAAAAAAGUAGGCGUGCCUUUCAAAAUAUUAUUCAUUUUAGCUCUUGAUUUUUAUGUUAAUAAUUUAAUAAAUAGAUGACAAUGAAUAUAGACACGUGUAAUAUACAUCCAUUUAUGAAUUAAUUAAUUACUUAAGACGAAUUUUAAUUUAGGAUGGAAGGAGUAUUAACAAUCAUAUCUCUAAGUAAAUUAAUUAUAUUGUAUAGCUAAUUAAAUGGUACUCAUAUUAUAUUAUAAAUAUUUAUAUUCUAUAUAUAUAUAUAUGUAUUUAGCAUUUAAACUAUUUAACUUUUCAAAAACAAGAAUUACAAAUUACAAAUGGAGAGACGUGUAGAUAUGUAUGUACUAAUUAGUUGCCGGUGUCUCACUGCGGUUUUCAGGCUAUGCGCGUGGGAGGAUGGAAAUUUAGGUACCGUUUGGUUCAAAUAUUUGUAACGUAAUGGGUAAGUGAUAACGUUGAAUCAUGUUUAUUUUAGUUCAACUGUAAUCAGAUACCAUAUUAAAAAUUGAUACCGGACUAUUAUUUAAACUUGUUACCACCCGUAAUCAAGUGUAAAUCAUUACCAUUACCCUUUACGUUACAUUUCGUGAACCAAACAACACCUUAGAUAUUUAUAUUCAGUCGAACGUUGCUGCCAACGGCCCCAGAUGAAAGGAAAAGGAAACAAAAGCGCAAGCAACCUGACCUUGUUGCCACUCCUUAUAUGAACAUCCAGCUACGCCCUAGCUAGCUAGAUAGCGGCUUAGCUUACUAUUGCGUGAAUGAUAGCAGGUAGCCAAGAUCUAAAACUUUGUCGACCUUCCGAUCGCGAUCGACGAUGGAUCAAGAGCACGGACAGGCCAACAAGUGUGGUCUACCACGCAUUGAUUCCAGACAAGACUCGGCAUGCGAGAAUUAAUUGAAAGCAACGACGACACGGGGUGAGCGGGGGGUGUUUCUGUGAGCAUGUAGCAUAGCAUACCAGGCAAACCUUGCACUGUGGUGGGCGGGGUCACCGCCAUCGGUGGAAUUGAAGCGAAGUGGUGCAAGCACAGUGCUCAGCCAUAGUGGGGGAGGAGAGGAGAGCCCGACGGCGGCUGCUGAUGAGGGGCCAUGCCCAUGCGUGUAUGCAAAAGACAAGGGGAGGGCGAUUCAUUAGCUUCCUUUUCCUCGCAUCACAGGCACAGCGCGGGGGGCCGGGCUGGCGCUGCUGGCCCACCGCGCGCGCGUCCCGUCGCGUGAGAAAGUCACAGGGGGAAGUCUGCACUCUGCAGGGAGGGCCGGAGGGGGAAAAAGGCUAGCUACUGUUCUUCUUCCUCUCCCGGCCUCUUGCCCUCUUCAGGGAUUUGGACACCUUUCAUUAAUUACAUACCCUUGCUGCUAAUAUGCUUGUUGAUUGGUCUCUAGAAAUAAUCUAAAUCAUUUAAAGAAGCCCAAGCAGCAGGAUUCAUCGAAGAGAGUGGGACUCUGGGUGAUAUAUGGGAGACUGUGUCAAGCAGUGAUCUUGUUUUGCUACUGAUAUCUAAUUCUGCUCAGGUCCGCUUCAUUGAUCUAGAUAUAUGCUUAGAAGCUUUGCACUUUGAAUUGAUCAACACUUUGUGUUUUCAACUAUUAUUGUUUUGAUUGUGUUGCUUUGAAGUGAGACCGAUUAUUAUGUUUAGAACUUUUCCUUAUGACUAACACAAUUCUUAUCAACUUUUUAUGCUACUCGUUAAGGGCUUUAAGAAUGAGCUUUAGAUUGCAAAAA